CCUGGCUUAGGAUGAACGCUGGCGGCGUGCUUAACACAUGCAAGUCGAACGAAGUCUCUAGACAGAUCCUCGGGAUGACGACUAGAUGUACUAGUGGCGGACGGGUGAGUAACGCGUGGGUAACCUGCCUCAUACAGGGGGAUAACAGUUGGAAACAGCUGCUAAUACCCCAUAAGCGCACAAUGUCGCAUGACAAAGUGUGAAAAACUCCGGUGGUAUGAGAUGGACCCGCGUCUGAUUAGCUAGUUGGUGAGGUAACGGCCCACCAAGGCGACGAUCAGUAGCCGACUUGAGAGAGUGAUCGGCCACAUUGGGACUGAGACACGGCCCAGACUCCUACGGGAGGCAGCAGUGGGGAAUAUUGCACAAUGGGGGAAACCCUGAUGCAGCGACGCCCGCGUGAGUGAUGAAGUAUUUCGGUAUGUAAAGCUCUAUCAGCAAGGAAGAUAAUGACGGUACUUGACUAAGAAGCCCCGGCUAAAUACGUGCCAGCAGCAGC
RNAcentral lists this ribosomal RNA (499 nucleotides) under uncultured bacterium. Its description in RNAcentral is "bacterial SSU rRNA". It matches the Rfam family "Bacterial small subunit ribosomal RNA", at positions 18 to 518 of the family's 1533-position model. The record is from RNAcentral.